This is a long non-coding RNA of Helianthus annuus (common sunflower), 816 nucleotides long. RefSeq lists it as uncharacterized. The transcript is spliced from 4 exons. The record is from RefSeq and is a predicted model, not a curated record. Lineage: Eukaryota; Viridiplantae; Streptophyta; Magnoliopsida; Asterales; Asteraceae.
UCCCCUGUUUCCUUUGUCUGCAACUCAAAAGCUAUACACGCACAACACCCACCUCUCUUCUCUAAUUUACACACUAAACUACCAUCUGAGCACACACCCCUGCAUCUCCGGCGUCGGCUCAGCCGACGACACACCCAAACACCCCGUUUCCUCUUGCAACCCCACCCCCAAUCCUCUAUCUUCAUGAUGCCACAACCGUCACACCAGAGAAACCGAGACAGAGAGAGAGGGUCGGUGGACACGGCACUCGUCGACGGCAGAAACGGAACGACGGCAGAACCGUCGGACAGCGAGAACGGCGGCGGUGCUAGGGUUCUUCGCGGCGGCUGGGUUCAGUUUCUAACGAGCGGUUCCGGUUCAGGUUCGGUUCGGUCAGAUUGUUUUGAUUUGGGUUGUUUCCGGCAGUGGUGUCGAUGAUGAUGACGACGACGGUGAGGGCUCGGGUCUCGGCUCUUGUCAGCUUCAGCAAGACAGCCAUGAGUUAGACUUGGUCUCGGGUUCACGGUCAACGUAGUCAGAAUUGGUGCGGGUUCGGGUUCAGUCAAAACAAGUCAAAGCAGUCAAACCGGUCAGAUUCAUGUUCGUAUUCUGGUUCGGGUUAAACUGGUCAACUCGAGCUCGGGUAAUCACUCUCGUGCGCUCGGUUUUUCCUAUCUUUUUCCUCGUGCGUUAUUUCAAGGAAUCUCCAUACGCAAACACAGAAUAUCAAUGACGCAUGGAAUCUAGUAGGAUUGCCUAGAAACGCAUUUAAACGUUAAAUACUUGUUGUAUUGUAUUUUAUUUCAUACAUGUUAUAACUAAUUCCAAAACCAUUGU